Aphelenchus avenae is the source of this 76-nucleotide non-coding RNA. Lineage: Eukaryota; Metazoa; Nematoda; Chromadorea; Rhabditida; Aphelenchidae. The record is from the annotation of a GenBank genome assembly.
AGCCGUAUGGCCGAGUGGUCUAACGCGCAGCGCGUCUUCAAUCGCUAGGUCAGGGGUUCGAUCCCCACCGCGGCGU